This 497-nucleotide ribosomal RNA is filed under the name uncultured bacterium. Its description in RNAcentral is "partial 16S ribosomal RNA". It matches the Rfam family "Bacterial small subunit ribosomal RNA", at positions 28 to 507 of the family's 1533-position model. The record is from RNAcentral.
GACGAACGCUGGCGGCGUGCCUAAUACAUGCAAGUUGAGCGCUGAAGGUUGGUACUUGUACCAACUGGAUGAGCAGCGAACGGGUGAGUAACGCGUGGGGAAUCCGCCUUUGAGCGGGGGACAACAUUUGGAAACGAAUGCUAAUACCGCAUAAAAACUUUAAACACAAGUUUUAAGUUUGAAAGAUGCAAUUGCAUCACUCAAAGAUGAUCCCGCGUUGUAUUAGCUAGUUGGUGAGGUAAAGGCUCACCAAGGCGAUGAUACAUAGCCGACCUGAGAGGGUGAUCGGCCACAUUGGGACUGAGACAAGGCCCAAACCCCUACGGGAGGCAGCAGUAGGGGAUCUUCGGCAAUGGACGAAAGUCUGACCGAGCAACGCCGCGUGAGUGAAGAAGGUUUUCGGAUCGUAAAACUCUGUUGGUAGAGAAGAACGUUGGUGAGAGUGGAAAGCUCAUCAAGUGACGGUAACUACCCAGAAAGGGACGGCUAACUACGUG